RNAcentral lists this ribosomal RNA (396 nucleotides) under uncultured bacterium. RNAcentral's name for it is "partial 16S ribosomal RNA". It matches the Rfam family "Bacterial small subunit ribosomal RNA", at positions 523 to 918 of the family's 1533-position model. The record is from RNAcentral.
CUACGUAGGGAGCGAGCGUUGUCCGGGAUUACUGGGCGUAAAGGGAGCGUAAGCGGGAGUGCAAGUCAGAUGUGAAAUACAUGGGCUCAACCCAUGGGCUGCAUUUGAAACUGCAUUUCUUGAGUGAAGUAGAGGUAAGCGGAAUUCCUGGUGUAGCGAUGAAAUGCGUAGAUAUCAGGAGGAACACCGGUGGCGAAGGCGGCUUACUGGGCUUUUACUGACGCUGAGGCUCGAAAGCGUGGGGAGCAAACAGGAUUAGAUACCCUGGUAGUCCACGCUGUAAACGAUGAUUACUAGGUGUGGGGGGACUGACCCCUUCCGUGCCGCAGUUAACACAAUAAGUAAUCCACCUGGGGAGUACGGCCGCAAGGUUGAAACUCAAAUGAAUUGACGGGG